This 833-nucleotide ribosomal RNA is filed under the name Ganoderma tropicum. RNAcentral's name for it is "SSU rRNA". It matches the Rfam family "Eukaryotic small subunit ribosomal RNA", at positions 81 to 932 of the family's 1831-position model. Lineage: Eukaryota; Fungi; Basidiomycota; Agaricomycetes; Polyporales; Polyporaceae. The record is from RNAcentral.
GUGAAACUGCGAAUGGCUCAUUAAAUCAGUUAUAGUUUAUUUGAUGGUGCUUUGCUACAUGGAUAACUGUGGUAAUUCUAGAGCUAAUACAUGCAAUCAAGCCCCGACUUCCGGGAGGGGUGUAUUUUAGAUAAAAAACCAACGCGGUUCGCCGCUCCAUUGGUGAUUCAUAAUAACUUGUCGAAUCGCACGGCCUUGCGCCGGCGAUGCUUCAUUCAAAUAUCUGCCCUAUCAACUUUCGAUGGUAGGAUAGGCCUACCAUGGUUUCAACGGGUAACGGGGAAUAAGGGUUCGAUUCCGGAGAGGGAGCCUGAGAAACGGCUACCACAUCCAAGGAAGGCAGCAGGCGCGCAAAUUACCCAAUCCCGACACGGGGAGGAGGACAAUAAAUAACAAUAUGGGGCUCUUUCGGGUCUCAUAAUUGGAAUGAGUACAAUUUAAAUCUCUUAACGAGGAACAAUUGGAGGGCAAGUCUGGUGCCAGCAGCCGCGGUAAUUCCAGCUCCAUACGUAUAUUAAAGUUGUUGCAGUUAAAAAGCUCGUAGUUGAACUUCAGACCUGGCCGGGCGGUCUGCCUAACGGUAUGUACUGUCUGGCUGGGUCUUACCUCUUGGUGAGCCGGCAUGCCCUUCCUGGUGUGUCGGGGAACCAGGACUUUUACCUUGAGAAAAUUAGAGUGUUCAAAGCAGGCCUAUGCCUGAAUACAUUAGCAUGGAAUAAUAAAAUAGGACGUGCGGUUCUAUUUUGUUGGUUUCUAGGUCGCGUAAUGAUUAAUAGGGAUAGUUGGGGGCAUUAGUAUUCAGUUGCUAGAGGUGAAAUUCUUGGAUUUACUGA